ACAUAAGUGUAUAGGCAUAUCUCGGCGGACACGACGACAGGAAUGAACGAAACGCGCGCGUCGUGAAAAUAAUACUGCGCAAAAAGUAUGGAGACUCGAACGCGUCUCUCUCUCUCUCUCCUCUCUUGCUGCUCCUCCUCGUGAUGUUGGUGGUGGUAGCAGCGACAGUAGUAAAGUAGCAGAAAGAAGUAAUGGUGGAGCGGUAACAGUACGUGCACGCUUAUCCGUGGCGGUUUAUCGCACUGUAAUAAAUCAAAGUAAUUAAUAAAAGAAGCGCCCGUGUGGCAACGACGGAGCGCUUUCGCAGGGCGGAGCGAGCUGCUCUCCGUUGUUGACAUCAUGACGAUGGACGAAUUCGCCCGGACCAAACGCUCGGUAAGAGGAAUGAACGAAGUUGUAAAAAGGAAGAAGAAGAUAAGUCGAUACUCGAGUAAUCGAGCACUAAAGAAAUGAAAAACUGAAAAGUGGAAGAAGAUCUACCGUCAUAUUGUAUUAUUUGAAAAUAGAGUUUUGUGAAUGUGUACGUGGACCGUUUUUUGAGUCAUGUUAUGUAAAAAUGAAAGGACCUUCGAUUUGCCACCGACUUGUAUUACUUGCAAAUAAAAGGCCCUCUAAGCCGUUAA
Molecule: long non-coding RNA, 623 nt
Organism: Dinoponera quadriceps
Lineage: Eukaryota; Metazoa; Arthropoda; Insecta; Hymenoptera; Formicidae
Exons: 2
Source: RefSeq, a predicted model, not a curated record